UGGGGAAUCUUAGACAAUGGGGGAAACCCUGAUCUAGCCAUGCCGCGUGAGUGACGAAGGCCCUAGGGUCGUAAAGCUCUUUCGCCAGGGAAGAUAAUGACGGUACCUGGUAAAGAAACCCCGGCUAACUCCGUGCCAGCAGCCGCGGUAAUACGGAGGGGGUUAGCGUUGUUCGGAAUUACUGGGCGUAAAGCGCGCGUAGGCGGAUUGGAAAGUUGGGGGUGAAAUCCCAGGGCUCAACCCUGGAACUGCCUCCAAAACUAUCAGUCUAGAGUUCGAGAGAGGUGAGUGGAAUUCCGAGUGUAGAGGUGAAAUUCGUAGAUAUUCGGAGGAACACCAGUGGCGAAGGCGGCUCACUGGCUCGAUACUGACGCUGAGGUGCGAAAGUGUGGGGAGCAAACAGGAUUAGAUACCCCCGUAGUCC
RNAcentral lists this ribosomal RNA (424 nucleotides) under uncultured prokaryote. RNAcentral describes it as "bacterial SSU rRNA". It matches the Rfam family "Bacterial small subunit ribosomal RNA", at positions 355 to 796 of the family's 1533-position model. The record is from RNAcentral.